This 72-nucleotide transfer RNA is filed under the name Camelus bactrianus (Bactrian camel). It matches the Rfam family "tRNA". From Rfam's summary of the family: Transfer RNA (tRNA) molecules are approximately 80 nucleotides in length. Their secondary structure includes four short double-helical elements and three loops (D, anti-codon, and T loops). Lineage: Eukaryota; Metazoa; Chordata; Mammalia; Artiodactyla; Camelidae. The record is from Rfam by way of RNAcentral. RNAcentral also lists the same sequence under 2 other names.
GGAGGUAUAGCUCAGUGGCAGAGCACAUGCCUAGCAAGCAUAAGGUCCUGGGUUCAAUCCCUAGUACCACCA